AAUAUGGCUGCCGCAGCUUUUGCUUGCAAUUACACUCCUCUUUUUUUUCGUUUGGCAUCUCUUCAUGCUGUGAUUAUGCGUUGAACGUUGCUGGUUCAUAUUCUUAGCAUCGUCCAAUCAUGUAUGCUCAAAUGGUUGAAGCUACAACAUCACUGAACCCACAGAAUAAAUCAGUUGAGAGUGGUUGCUGUGUUAAAGAACAAAGUCAGUGGCCUAACCAUGUGAUUUAUGACUUGAUAAUGCAACGUUAUUAGGUGAAUUGUGAUUUUUUUUCUACACGACAUGUGAUUUUCUCAGCCUUCAAAUCAAUAUGAUGACUUGUCGAUUCAAAGCUUGGCCCACACCGGGUUUAUUAUGUCUUACUGUGUUAAAGAAAAGUUUCUGAAUGAGUUGAUGACAUUGGAUGGAACAAAUGACAUCCAUGAACUUGAAAAUGAUGGGGAACAAGGGACAUAACUCGAAAGUGCUGCAACAAUCAUGGCUGCCACAGAUUGCUUCUCAGCAAAGAAUAAACUUGGACGGCGCAGUUUUGGACCUGUUUACAAUGUAGUUUUAUAUAAAUCACUCAAAGAACAAAAUUCAAAAACCCUGUAAAAUCUAUGUAAUGACUAGUGAGAUGUUUUAUUUGAGGGAAAUUUAUCGAUUGGGAGAGAGAGAGAGAGAGAGAGAGAUAAAAGACUAUCAAGAAGUUCAUGACAAGGGCUUGCUGAAUUCAAAAACGAGCUUAUACUCGUAUCUAAAUUGCAGCACAUGAAUCUUGUCAGGCUCCUGGGUUGCUGCAUUCAAGGGGAUGAGAAGAUGUUAGUCUACGAAUACAUGCCUAAUAAAAGCUUGGAUUCAUUUAUCUUUGAGCAAAUGAUCAUAGUUGGAGGGGUGCGCCGGAGAAUAACGAGAAUGCCAUGGAGGGCAUUUUUACUCUGAAACCUGAAUUCUUCAGUUUUGGAGUCCUGCUUCUAGAGAUUGUGAGUGGUACAUAAAACCUAAACUUCUUCGCAUUGACCCUCCCCUUCAGUUUAAUUACGGGGUCGCUUUUUCUUUUUCUUUUUUCAGGUUAUUGUAAUUAUUUUUUUAUUUGGUCAAUUUAUUAUAGUCAUUUAUUUUUAAUAUA
Long non-coding RNA from Populus trichocarpa (black cottonwood), 1108 nucleotides. RefSeq lists it as uncharacterized. The transcript has 2 exons. NCBI's taxonomy places the organism in Eukaryota, Viridiplantae, Streptophyta, Magnoliopsida, Malpighiales, Salicaceae. The record is from RefSeq and is a predicted model, not a curated record.